Molecule: ribosomal RNA, 371 nt
Filed under: uncultured organism
Description: bacterial SSU rRNA
Rfam family: Bacterial small subunit ribosomal RNA
Source: RNAcentral
CGUAGGGGCCAAGCGUUGUUCGGAUUUACUGGGCGUAAAGGGCGCGUAGGCGGCGAAUCAAGUCAGCUGUGAAAUCUCCGAGCUUAACUCGGAACGGUCAGCUGAUACUGUUUUGCUAGAGUGCAGAAAGGGCAACCGGAAUUCUUGGUGUAGCGGUGAAAUGCGUAGAUAUCAAGAGGAACACCUGAGGCGAAGGCGGGUUGCUAGGCUGACACUGACGCUGAAGCGCGAAAGCUAGGGUAGCAAACGGGAUUAGAUACCCCGGUAGUCCUAGCCCUAAACGAUGUAUGCUUGGUGUCUGGAGUUUUUAUCUCUGGGUGCCGUCGCUAACGCUUUUAGCAUACCGCCUGGGGAGUACGCACGCAAGUGUG